GAAUAUCUAAGGUUUCCAGAGUAAAGCUGAUCUGCUCUGGGUAAGUCGGGACCUAAGGCGAGGACGAAAGUCGUAGUCGAUGGAUAACAGGUGGAGAUUCCUGUACUCCGUAUAAACAGAACUGUGGGGACACGGGUGGAAAGCCUGACCCGGGAAUGGAAAGACCGGGACAAGCGAGGUACCUGAUAAGGAGGCAAAUCCCCUUAUCAAUGGGAAGACGUGAUGUGGAGCGAACCAAAGGGUAGCGAAGCAGGUGAGCCAGCCGUCGAGAAAAGCCGCUAUUGUUUUGUACGGACCCGUACCGUAAACCGACACAGGUGGAUGAGGAGAGAAUCCUAAGGCCGACGGGAGAAGCAUUGUUAAGGAACUCGGCAAAAUGACCCCAUAACUUCGGGAGAAGGGGUGCC
RNAcentral lists this ribosomal RNA (407 nucleotides) under human gut metagenome. RNAcentral describes it as "bacterial LSU rRNA". It matches the Rfam family "Bacterial large subunit ribosomal RNA", at positions 1339 to 1752 of the family's 2925-position model. The record is from RNAcentral.